This 510-nucleotide ribosomal RNA is filed under the name Acaulospora sp. Acau5. RNAcentral describes it as "SSU rRNA". It matches the Rfam family "Eukaryotic small subunit ribosomal RNA", at positions 569 to 1078 of the family's 1831-position model. Lineage: Eukaryota; Fungi; Glomeromycota; Glomeromycetes; Diversisporales; Acaulosporaceae. The record is from RNAcentral.
AGCAGCCGCGGUAAUUCCAGCUCCAAUAGCGUAUAUUAAAGUUGUUGCAGUUAAAAAGCUCGUAGUUGAAUUUCGGAGUUUGUCGGUUGGUCGGGCUUCACUGUCCGCACUGGCCUGAUAGAUUCCUACCUUCUGAAUAACCAGCAUGCUAUUAAUUUAGUGCGUUGGGGAAGCAGAGCUAUUACCUUGAAAAAAUUAGAGUGCUUAAAGCAGGCUUAUGCUUGAAUAGAUUAGCAUGGAAUAAUAAAAUAGGACGGCUUGGUUCUAUUUUGUUGGUUUCUAGGAUCACCGUAAUGAUUAAUAGGGAUAGUUGGGGGCAUUAGUAUUCAAUUGUCAGAGGUGAAAUUCUUGGAUUUAUUGAAGACUAACUUCUGCGAAAGCAUUUGCCAAGGAUGUUUUCAUUAAUCAAGAACGAAAGUUAGGGGAUCGAAGACGAUCAGAUACCGUCGUAGUCUUAACCAUAAACUAUGUCGACUAGGGAUCGGACGAUGUUAAUUUUUUAAUGACUCG